This 867-nucleotide ribosomal RNA is filed under the name uncultured archaeon. Its description in RNAcentral is "bacterial SSU rRNA". It matches the Rfam family "Archaeal small subunit ribosomal RNA", at positions 19 to 859 of the family's 1478-position model. The record is from RNAcentral.
GGACCUUACUGCUAUCGGGAUAGGNANUAAGACAUGUUAGUCGCGCGUCUCCCAGCCAUGAAAGAGACGCGGCCACACGGCUCAGUAANCAUGUGGCUAACCUGCCCUUAGGACAGAGACAACCCCGGGAAACUGGGGCUAAUCUCUGAUAGGUGUGGAGUUCUGGAAUGAAUCUACACCUAAAAGACGCCUGAAUCACGCUUUAGACAUCGCCUAAGGAUGGGGCCGCAGCCGAUCAGGUUGUUGGUGAGGUAACGGCUCACCAAGCCUAUAACCGGUACGGGCCGCGGGAGCGGUAGCCCGGAGAUGGACACUGAGAUAAGGGUCCAGGCCCUACGGGGCGCAGCAGUCGCGAAAACUCCACAAUGCGCGAAAGCGCGAUGGGGCUAUCCCGAGUGCCGUCCGCUGAGGAUGGCUUUUCUCCAGUGUAAGGAGCUGGAGGAAUAAGGAGAGGGCAAGACUGGUGUCAGCCGCCGCGGUAAUACCAGCUCUCCGAGUGGUAGGGAUGUUUAUUGGGCCUAAAGCGUCCGUAGCCGGCUCAUCAAGUCCUCCGUUAAAUCCAGCGAUUCAAUCGUUGGGCUGCGGGGGAUACUGUUGGGCUAGGGGACGGGAGAGGCCGACGGUAUUCCCGGAGUAGGGGUGAAAUCCUAUAAUUCCGGGAGGACCACCAGUGGCGAAGGCUGUCGGCUAGAACGAGCUCGACGGUGAGGGACGAAAGCUGGGGUAGCGAACCGGAUUAGAUACCCGGGUAGUCCCAGCCGUAAACGAUGCGGGCUAGGUGUUAGGGUGGCUACGAGCCACUCUAGUGCCGCAGCGAAGGCAUUAAGCCCGCCGCCUGGGGAGUACGGCCGCAAGGCUGAAACUUAA